GGUUGGCAAGAGCUAGGGACAAGGCUGCAGGAGAUUGCCCUGUCACACGGCUUUGAACUGCUGACCUUUCAAUUGGCAGCCCAGCAGCUCAGUGGUUUAAACUACUGUGCCACUGCAUCCCCAAAGAAAGAGGAAGAGUCAGAAACGAAUAAACAAAAGCCCGGAGUUAUCACACUGGAUCCAGACGAAGGUCAUCACUUCUCUUGAGCCAUUUAUUCCUCAUCUUGUUGCAUCUGAACAUGCUAUGGCAGACCAUAACAUCAAGAACAUGAAACCUAGACACCUGAAACUUGGCAUGCAUGCAAAGGAGAACCCACAGGUGCACACCUCAAAGGGAAUGGAGUGGACAGACCCUUCCCUUAGGGGUCGUAAGGAUGCACCAUAGCAGGAGCUUUGUCUAGAAGUGCAUUGGGGGCUGUUUCACUCAGGAGUACCAGGAGAAGCUCUUCUCUGAGGGACAUUGGCCCAUUGCAGGUCAAGGCAGAGAUCCUUCUCUGUUGCGAUGCCUCAACUAUGGGAGCACCCACCAUGGAAGCCCAACUGGCACCAACAUUCUGUCAUUUUCUGCAACAGGACAUGAACGAUUUGCUUGCCCAGGUAUUUUAAGCUGGCCUACUGUAAGCUGGUGGAUACAUAUAUUUUACGUGUUCUCUCUUGCUACUGUUCCCAUAUGUCAUUAUGGAUUUUGGAAUCCACUUUGCACAUCACCCUUGUAUUGUAUUGGGAGCUGUCAAAACAUUUUAAAAUAAACUUAACUAAACCGCC
Long non-coding RNA from Varanus komodoensis (Komodo dragon), 765 nucleotides. RefSeq lists it as uncharacterized. The transcript has 5 exons. The record is from RefSeq and is a predicted model, not a curated record. Lineage: Eukaryota; Metazoa; Chordata; Lepidosauria; Squamata; Varanidae.